GGGCUUGACAUCCCACGAACCUGCCUGAAAGGGCGGGGUGCCCGCAAGGGAGCAUGGAGACAGGUGGUGCAUGGCUGUCGUCAGCUCGUGUCGUGAGAUGUUGGGUUAAGUCCCGCAACGAGCGCAACCCUCACCCCUGGUUGCCACCGGGUAAAGCCGAGCACUCGAGGGGAACUGCCAGCGUCAAGCUGGAGGAAGGCGGGGAUGACGUCAAGUCAUCAUGCCCCUUACGCCCUGGGCUACACACGUGCUACAAUGGCCGGUACAAAGGGACGCGAGACCGCGAGGUGGAGCCAAUCCCAAAAAACCGGUCUAAGUUCAGAUUGCAGUCUGCAACUCGACUGCAUGAAGGAGGAAUCGCUAGUAAUCGCGCAUCAGCACGGCGCGGUGAAUACGUUCCCGGGCCUUGUACACACCGCCCGUCACACCACGAAAGCUGUCUGUACUCGAAGUCGCUGAG
This 460-nucleotide ribosomal RNA is filed under the name uncultured Methylomirabilota bacterium. RNAcentral's name for it is "bacterial SSU rRNA". It matches the Rfam family "Bacterial small subunit ribosomal RNA", at positions 977 to 1434 of the family's 1533-position model. Lineage: Bacteria; Methylomirabilota (SeqCode). The record is from RNAcentral.